RNAcentral lists this ribosomal RNA (474 nucleotides) under Bacteroidetes bacterium oral taxon 272. RNAcentral's name for it is "bacterial SSU rRNA". It matches the Rfam family "Bacterial small subunit ribosomal RNA", at positions 28 to 491 of the family's 1533-position model. The record is from RNAcentral. Lineage: Bacteria; Pseudomonadati; Bacteroidota.
GAUGAACGCUAGCUACAGGCUUAACACAUGCAAGUCGUGGGGCAUCAUGAUGUAGUAAUACAUUGAUGGCGACCGGCGCACGGGUGAGUAACGCGUAUCCAACCUACCCUCCACUCAAGUAUAGGCUUCCGAAAGGGAGAUUAAUCCUUGAUAUCGUCAUUCUCUCUCCUGUUAGAAUGAUAAAAGGACAUCGUUUCGGUAGAGGAUGGGGAUGCGUUCCAUUAGGUAGUAGGUGGUUUAACAGGCCACCUAGCCGAUGAUGGAUAGGGGUUCUGAGAGGAAUAUCCCCCACACUGGUACUGAGAUACGGACCAGACUCCUACGGGAGGCAGCAGUGAGGAAUAUUGGUCAAUGGGCGCAAGCCUGAACCAGCCAUGUAGCGUGAAGGAUGACGGUUUUUUUGAUUGUAAACUUCUUUUCUGUGCGAUUAAAGUGUGGCAUUUAUGCCAUAUUGCAGUUAUCUCAGGAAUAAGC